AUGGAAGAAAAGCUCUCUUCUAUGCGACAAGAUGUCAUUCAGGAAUUUGUGGCGCUUUAUCAAAGAGUAGGGCCUUAUCUACCAAUCGAUCCCUACUUGGUCGAUGAAGCGCUUCGUUCCUAUCUGGACCAUAUUCAUGCAACUGAUUCUUUCACUAUUCUCCAAGCAUCUUAUCAAGAUCUACGGGAGAAUGAGGGAGGAUCCGUUUUCUUUUGA
RNAcentral lists this ribosomal RNA (216 nucleotides) under Triticum aestivum (bread wheat). Its description in RNAcentral is "partial small subunit ribosomal RNA". The record is from RNAcentral. Lineage: Eukaryota; Viridiplantae; Streptophyta; Magnoliopsida; Poales; Poaceae.